UCACUGUAACAGUCUAGCUGAGAUUCAGGCAAAAACACCCCCUAGGUGAGCUGGUGAGGUCGUGACUCGUCAGAGCGAAGCAAGCGCCGUUUGCUCGCCCCGUCCGACAACGGACCCCGCGCAUCGCCACUCUGACCGACGGGACCCGCGCCAUCCCCUUCCACGAGCCACGCAGCCUUUUUCUACACCACUCGGACACAGCUCACUGACUACUGGGACCGGAAGUGUUGGGGCGCCGACGUCAGUGGGCGCCUGACGUCGGCGCUGAGACGGACACCGGUUCCCCGGUUCCGGUGGCACAAAGCGACAGGCGCCUCACGCUCGCGUCCCUCCUCCCCUUCUCUUCCCCGUUCCAAGCAAGAGAGAAACGCACGCGAGGCGACUAGAGCUGCGCGGCGCCAUCCCGAUCUCGCCAUUUCCCUUCCCCCGAUGCGACCAAACCCUAAUCCCGUCCACCACCCGGCCGUCGCCGGAGCCCUAGCGCCGAAUGCGGCGGUGACGCGCGGCACCACCACCGCUUGAGCGGGCGUGCGCGCCCCGCGGUCCUCCUGCCGCCGAGGCCGAGGCCGAUCGCCAUGGGCACCGCCGACAAGUGGCUACUCCCGCUCGUCUCCGUCUCCUUCGUCUCGCUCCUGCUCUUCCUCUCUGCGCUCUCCGGUUUCUCCGCCUCCUCCGCGCUCUUCGCCCGCCUCCCGCCGCCCUCCUACGUCCGCCGGGGCGCCGCCGCGCCGCCCUCCUUGGCGUACCUGCUCGCGGGCGGGCGAGGGGACGGGAGGAAGCUCCUGCGGCUGCUCCUGGCCGUCUACCACCCGAGGAACCGCUACCUGCUCCACCUCUCCGCGGACGCGUCAGAGUCCGAGCGCGCCGAGCUGGCCGUGGCCGUCGCUCGCGCCGCCCCCGCCGUGCGCGCUUUCGGGAAUGUCGACGUCGUCGGACGCCCCACCGCGGGCACCCCCAUGGGAUCCUCCGGACUUGCCGCCACUCUCCGCGCAGCCGCCGCUCUGCUCCGGCUGGAUUCGGAGUGGGACUGGUUCGUCACGCUCAACGCCGCCGACUACCCUCUUCUCACCCAGGACGACAUGAUUCAUGUCUUCUCCUCCGUUCCGAGGCACCUCAACUUCAUUGAUCACACCAGUGACAUUGGAUGGAAAGAGUCUCAGAGAGUGCAACCAAUCAUAGUAGAUGCUGGAAUAUACUUGGCAGGGAGGAAUCAGUUCUUCCAAGCCACAGAGAAACGGGCUACUCCUGAUGGUUUCAAAAUUUUCACAGGUUCUCCAUGGGUCAUUCUAAACCGACGCUUUAUAGAAUAUUGUAUUUUUGGUUGGGAGAAUCUCCCUAGAACACUCCUCAUGUACUUCACUAAUGUGAUGCUACCUCAGGAGGGGUAUUUCCAUUCGGUUGUAUGCAACUCAGACUUCCGUAAUUUCACAGUGAACGACGACUUGCGGUAUAUGGUGUGGGACGAUCCACCUCAGAUGGAACCCCAUUUCCUUAAUGUUACACAUUAUGAUGAGAUAGUGGAGAGUGGUGUACCUUUUGCUCGGAAGUUUCGGGAAAAUGAACCGCUAUUGGACAAGAUUGAUGAGAAAAUACUUCAACGUUGGCGUCACAGACCUGUUCCUGGUGCCUGGUGCACAGGCAGAAGGGGGUGGUUCAGUGAUCCAUGUUCCCAGUGGAGCAACGUUAACAUUGUAAGACCUGGCCCUCAAGCUGAGAAAUUCCGCAGAUAUAUGAAUCAGAUUUUAGAAGAAUCAAAGUCAGGCAACAACUCCUGCAAGCAAUAGCAGCUUGAAGCAUGAGGCUUCAUUUUCCAUGGUUGAAGUGUUGAGCUUUUCUCGUUUUCCGCAGAGGGGCUCCACGCUCUCCAUGCCUCUAGAAUUUCAGCAUGCCCACUUCCGAAGCCUGCAUUUUUUGACCUGGGUUAUGAGCCAAGGAAUCAAGAUAAAUCCCCGCAUUCCAAACAGGGCUUUCAUUUCAGCUCGAUGAACACCGGGAUGUCCUCAGGAGAAGAGUCCCAUAUGGCGUCCGGGACGAAGAGGAACGCUCUCGCUUGGUACGGCCUUGGUAGCCGAUCGAUGCCGUCGGCCUGCCCGGACAGCGAGAGCACGCCCGCCUUGCCGACCACCUCGAUCCUGUACCUGAACUCCUCCUCGAACGGCUCGUCCAUGAGCCGAACCACCGACAGCGCGCGCCCUGACGGCACGUCUCGCGCGACGACGAGCAGGAACUCCGCCGUGCCAGGGCCGAGGCA
RNA transcript from Phragmites australis (common reed), 2251 nucleotides. It is a transcript of the gene named beta-glucuronosyltransferase GlcAT14A-like, with no coding region annotated. The record is from RefSeq and is a predicted model, not a curated record. Lineage: Eukaryota; Viridiplantae; Streptophyta; Magnoliopsida; Poales; Poaceae. The transcript has 5 exons.